GCAAACUUGGUCAUUUAGAGGAAGUAAAAGUCGUAACAAGGUUUCCGUAGGUGAACCUGCGGAAGGAUCAUUAAUGAAAUCAAAGUCGGCCGAUUGUGCUGGUGCCCUCAAAGCACAUGUGCACGUCGGUUGCAAAUCCACACACCUGUGCACCUUAGACUUGGAGUGAGUGGUCGUUUUCGGCCACAGCUUCGAGUAUUUUUACACACUCUGUAUGUAAAAGGAUGUUGAAGUGCUUUGCACAAAAAACAUACAACUUUCAACAACGGAUCUCUUGGCUCUCGCAUCGAUGAAGAACGCAGC
This 303-nucleotide unclassified non-coding RNA is filed under the name uncultured fungus. Its description in RNAcentral is "partial contains small subunit ribosomal RNA, internal transcribed spacer 1, and 5.8S ribosomal RNA". The stretch from base 1 to 73 matches the Rfam family "Eukaryotic small subunit ribosomal RNA", at positions 1759 to 1831 of the family's 1831-position model. The record is from RNAcentral. Lineage: Eukaryota; Fungi.